GGAAGAAGAAAGUGGGUUAUCUAAUAUCAUGAGUAUGAGUUUUUUCACUUUGAUGAGGGUGAUGGAGCUCUUGGUGGUUCAGCUAAAGAUUCAAGCUUGGAGGUAGGUCACGAUGUUGGAUGCUACUCGGGUUCUGCAAAUAACUCAUCCGGUUUUGACGGUUCUAGCAAUGGAGGUUUUUCUCACUUUGGUUCAGAGGAAGAGAAAGAAGAAGGUGGUUCAUGUGUUGGUAUCUCCAAUAGCCAAGCAAACAUGGACACGUAUCCAUUUUCUAAAUUAAAU
This 282-nucleotide long non-coding RNA is filed under the name Lathyrus oleraceus (garden pea). RNAcentral describes it as "Pisum sativum (pea) long non-coding RNA (PSAT_LNC013791)". The record is from RNAcentral. Lineage: Eukaryota; Viridiplantae; Streptophyta; Magnoliopsida; Fabales; Fabaceae.